Brassica napus (rape) is the source of this 4114-nucleotide long non-coding RNA. RefSeq lists it as uncharacterized. The record is from RefSeq and is a predicted model, not a curated record. The transcript is spliced from 5 exons. Lineage: Eukaryota; Viridiplantae; Streptophyta; Magnoliopsida; Brassicales; Brassicaceae.
AAAUAGGUUUAAAAGCAAAUCACAAAAUCAUAGACUUAAAAUAAAAUUAUCAUGUCGAGAUCUUUCUUUAGUCAAUGUAUAAGCCGGCCUCGCAAUCUAUAUUUUCCCAGGCGGCUUUCUUGGAUUCUUCCUUAUCAUUUCUAGCCUCAUUGGCUUCAGGAAGUAUCAUCUCACUAUCUCGUUGCUCAAUGUAUCUUUUCUGAAGUUUCUCAAAUCGACUAAUAGUAUCUUUAAGUUUCUGCUCUCUUUGCUUGAUUGCAAAUAGGUAUGACAAUAGGUCAUUAUAGGUUAUAAAACCCUUAGCCUUAUGUGAUAACAAUACAUCCUUUGGAUGGAAUGUGGAGUAUGUUUUAUAUAAUAAAUCAUCAUAUGUUACCACUUCACCACAUAGUUCAAGACUAUGGGCGAUUAGAGCAGAAUUAUAUUCUUCCAAGGAUUCAAAAUCCUAGAACCUGAGAAGCUUCCAUUCAUUCAUGGUCUUUCACUAAAAUAUCAUUGAGUAUCUGGAUUCUAGUCUUGUCCAAAGUUCACAAGGAUCCUAUAUAUUUUCAUACUGAUUUCUCAGUUCCUUAGUGAGAUGGUAGCGCAUAAUUGUUAUGGCUCUAUGCUUUUCACUUUCAAUUGCAUUAUUGCCUUCAAUGAUACAUCUCCUGAGUCCUCUAGACUUCAGGGCAAUUGAAGUGUUCAUUUUCCAUUCUUGAUAAUUAUCUCCAGAGAGAUUUAGGGAAGCAUAAUCCGAAGGCUCAAAUCUCGACAUCUGAAAUCAUUUAAUCAAUUUAUGAUUUAUAACUCUUGCAACCAAUUCAAAUAAUCAGUGCAUAUGAUUUCAUAAGUAUAUCUAUGAUACUUAGGCCAUACGGCUUUGCAUUUGUGAUGCUUAUACCUCACGGCCAUUAUAAGAUACAACGAUCUUAAGGAUCGGAUCAUAAUGCAAUCCGGUUUAUUAAACCAUCCGGAUACUAGGCUACACGGUCACUUUGAUAUUCACUAAGCCACACGGCUUUUAAUCAAUCAAGGGCACAAGGCCGCAAGUAUGAACAAUGUAUUAGGCCACACGACCAUAUACAAAACGGGAUCUAGAUGCAUUCAAUUCUAUUUCUUAGUUGCAUAUCUAUUAAGUUUUACCAAUUUCAAGGUUGGUAAUAUUAGAUUUUAGAAUCAAGCACUCUAGCAACCUAACUCUCAUUCAAAACAAUAUUAAACUUUCAAUCUUUAAAGUUUAAGGUUUCAAGACCUUUAGGAUUUUAAAUUCGAGAUUAGGAUUUCAGUUUAAACAAGAUUUAGAUUCAAGUUUUAAAACAAUACUAAUCAUAGCUCUAGGCGAUCAAUCAAACACUCAAGUUUCAAAUCAAAAUUAAAAACCGAUUUUCCAAAAUUAGGGUUUUAGGGGAUUUCGAAAACUUUGAUCUUUGAUCAAGGGGAUUUGAUUUGAGAUUCAAAAACCUUUAAGGUUCUGAUUUUAAUUGAUCAAUGGAUCAAUCUCGUUUUUAGGUUUUAGAUCGAACUUAUAGAGCUUCGAUUUACUCAUAGGGGAUUGAUCUAUUUAACCUAUGGCUUUCAGUUUUAGAGAUUAUCUUUUAGGAUUUCAAUCUUUACAAAACAACCAGGUUUGAUUCAUGUUCUCAGAUUAAGUCUGUACCUUUGUUUUUGCAGGUCUGAACCGGACCACCAAAGAUCAGAGACGAGCUGAGACGAACGGACGCGGGACGGCUCCUAUCGGGUCGCGUUGCCGAGAGCUAUCGCGAGCUUGUUUCUUCUUGCGGACGGUUGCGUCUGGUCGGGGAUUUGGUCUGAGUUGUAAGCUGAGCUGAGGCUGAGGACGUUGAUCACGGACAGGGAACGCCUGAAGCUGAGCUUGAUCGGAGUUGAGCUUGAUCGGAGUUUGCAAGCCGGAACGCAAGCAAGAACAGUUUAGGGUUCUUCGGGAUUAGGGUUCCAAAAGAUCAAGACGGCGCCGCGUAUUGUUUCUGCGAAUGUGGGCGCGUCUGAGAUCGGAUCGAAGAACGCUGAUGGAUUCGUCUCGUCAAGAGCUUCAAGAUGAUAUGUGGCUCGUCGUCUGGUUCCUCAGGGUUUGAGAGAUAGAUCGAUUUUAGGUUGCGCCUGAUUUAGGAUUUAUGUGUGACGGAUUUAGGUUAGGUUUUGUCUCAGGAUUUUGGAGUCUAUCGUGCUGAUAACGUGUUAUAAUUAGAGAGUUUAGAGACUGAAUAUUUAUGUGUAUAUUAAUGAACAAUGGGGGUUCCUUAUAUAAGGAUUACAAGAUAAAGAUAAAUGGAAAGACUACAUAUCCUAAUCCAACAGGAAAUAGGAAAACUACUAAAACAUAGAAAAGGAAAACAUCCUAAGUUCUAAGUCGGCUAGGUCAUUGACCGUCUCUCUCUCCUCCUUGCGGCCGCGGCUGGGCUUGAUGUGGCCGACGAACUUUCUCCUCUUGUCUUGGUUAAUGGCAAUCCACUCCAUGAUUUAUAACACCUAUACCUUUGUCAUUAAAAUCAUAAUAAAAAUCUGACCGAACUAUAAGGUACACUCCAUCCUUUACAAGAUCGAACUUCUGUCUGUUAAAAUGAAAAAUCUCCUUCGAUGUCUCAUGUUAACUUUAUAGUUUUCAUAGCUUCUCUUUGAUAAUGGAGAAUGUAAGAUAUAUUUUCCCAUUACAUGUCUUCUCUUCCUGAAACAAAAAUACAAGAUGUCAAAACACUUGUUCAUAUCAAGACCAUGACAUUGUUAAAUAGCUAGACCCCCAUAGAAAUGACCCAAUCAUAACAUGUUCAUCACAUAAGCUAUAUUACGAUCAUACUCUCACCUCAAUGCUAUUAAAAUGUUUUGAUAUACAUUUUAUUAAAAUGAUUCCUGUAAUGUUAAAAUGAUAAGAUUAGUUGCUAAUUAACAAAUAAUUAAAUUAAAAAAAAUUGUUCAUAUAUAUUGUUGAAAACGUUGUUUUAAAAUUUUAAAUUCACUAACUAUCUAAUCUAUUAAAACAAAAGUACAUUUAGUACUUAACCCUAAUUUUUUCUAAAUAAUUAUAAUCUAAUGCCAUUGGACUUAUACACGGUCGUUUUGUAACAUUACUUUACCCUCUAUUUUUUUCUUCUUGAUUUUGCUUCGUCUUCUUCGGGUCGCUAUAUCUCCAAAUUAUUCUUGAUUCUUCAGCAGGAGAUGGAAACUCUCUACGCCAAGCUCUACGACAAAUACACACUUUCAAGAAGAAGAAGUUUUCGGAAUUGGACGAGGUUAAUAGGAAACAAGAAGAGCAUCAAUGCCACUCCGAAUCCCUAAGCUUCCUUGUAAACAUUUGGAAUUAUCCUCAGAGGCGUUGACACAACAUUUGAGAAGUGAAAACCAGAAUUUAACGGAGAACAUGGAGAGAUUGAGGAAUGAGAUAGCUGAAAUCAGUCAUGUAGACCAGGGACGAGGAGCGUCUGGAAUCUCAAAAGUGUCUUGUGGAAGAAGAACGAAAGAACAAGGCACUUUCCCAGCAAGUUGAGAAACUAAAAGAGCUGAUAUCAGAGGGAGUUCCUCACAAUAACAAAAAUCAAAGUGGAAGAAUACGAAAGACUCCUAAAUCUCCUCAAGUUACAACAAGAUGCAUGAGGAACCGUAGCAGGCAGACUGAGGAUAUGGUGGAAACGGACACGGUAUCACCUACGAGAAGCAUGACGAAACAUAGCAGGCAGACAGAGGAUAUCAUGGAAACGGAUGUGGUAUCACCUCAUAUUAUAUUAGCAUACGUCACAUAUCAACAACGAUAAAACAAAUUGACUUAAGCUGAAUCAUCUUCUUUAAGUGAGUCAUCAAAAUUUUGCUUACUAAUACUAUUUUCUUGCUUUUGUUUCAUGGAAACUCUCUUGGUUGCUGAACCACAAUUCUGUAAAACAACUGACUAUGGAUCAAGUAAUCUGCUGGUUAUCCAUUUCAAGCUCUUGGGGAACACUUGACAGGAAUGAAAUUGUCAAAAAUUAAUAAAGACAAACGAGUCUGCAUUGUUGCCUCCCAUCCAUCAAGCGGUCAUUUUGUUUUUUGGCACAUAGUUAUGUCAUUGUAUAGUUAUGCGGGUUGUUCUCACGUAAAAAAUACACUUUAGAUCAUCAGCCACCAGAAAAGCACCAAUUUUGAAUCU